This 714-nucleotide ribosomal RNA is filed under the name uncultured prokaryote. RNAcentral's name for it is "bacterial SSU rRNA". It matches the Rfam family "Bacterial small subunit ribosomal RNA", at positions 28 to 760 of the family's 1533-position model. The record is from RNAcentral.
GAUGAACGCUGACAGAAUGCUUAACACAUGCAAGUCGAUUCGAUUUACCUUCGGGUAUUGAGGAUGGCGGACGGGUGAGUAACGCGUAAGGAACUUGCCUCUUGGUCUGGGACAACUGUUGGAAACGACAGCUAAUACCGGAUAUUAUGAGAUUCUCGCAUGGGAAACUUAUGAAAGCUAUAUGCGCCAAGAGAGAGCCUUGCGUUCCAUUAGCUAGUUGGUGGGGUAACGGCCCACCAAGGCGACGAUGGAUAGCCGGCCUGAGAGGGUGAACGGCCACAAGGGGACUGAGACACGGCCCUUACUCCUACGGGAGGCAGCAGUGGGGAAUAUUGGACAAUGGGCCACAAGCCUGAUCCAGCAAUUCUGUGUGCACGAUGAAGGUCUUCGGAUUGUAAAGUGCUUUCAGUUGGGAAGAAGAAAGUGACGGUACCAACAGAAGAAGCGACGGCUAAAUACGUGCCAGCAGCCGCGGUAAUACGUAUGUCGCAAGCGUUAUCCGGAUUUAUUGGGCGUAAAGCGCGUCUAGGCGGAAAAAUAAGUCUGAUGUUAAAAUGCGGGGCUCAACUCCGUAUUGCGUUGNAAACUGUUUUUCUAGAGUACUGNAGAGGUGGGCGGAACUACAAGUGUAGAGGUGAAAUUCGUAGAUNUUUGUAGGAAUGCCGAUGGAGAAGUCAGCUCACUGGACAGANACUGACGCUAAAGCGCGAAAGC